UACAGCCAUAUCAUGUUGAAACACCAGUUCUCAUUCGAUCAUGAAAGUUAAGCAACACUGAGCCUGAUCAGUACCUAGAUGGGUGACUUCUUGGGAAUACCAGAUGCUGCAAG
This is a non-coding RNA of Acanthosepion pharaonis, 113 nucleotides long. Lineage: Eukaryota; Metazoa; Mollusca; Cephalopoda; Sepiida; Sepiidae. The record is from the annotation of a GenBank genome assembly.